AUCCAGCUGACGAGUCCCAAAUGGGACGAAACGCGCGUUCUGGAU
This is a non-coding RNA of Schistosoma rodhaini, 45 nucleotides long. Lineage: Eukaryota; Metazoa; Platyhelminthes; Trematoda; Strigeidida; Schistosomatidae. The record is from Rfam.